GCCAAUGUAGCUCAGGGGUAGAGCACUUCCAUGGUAAGGAAGGGGUCGCGAGUUCAAAUCUCGCCAUUGGCUCUA
This 75-nucleotide transfer RNA is filed under the name Bacteroidota bacterium. RNAcentral's name for it is "Bacteroidetes bacterium tRNA-Thr". It matches the Rfam family "tRNA". Rfam says of the family: Transfer RNA (tRNA) molecules are approximately 80 nucleotides in length. Their secondary structure includes four short double-helical elements and three loops (D, anti-codon, and T loops). The record is from RNAcentral. Lineage: Bacteria; Pseudomonadati; Bacteroidota.